CUCUCUGCCUGCUUUUCAUCAUUUACAAAGGCGGCUCUCUCUCUCAGAGGACUGACAGCAUUGAUGGAAGGAGCAUCAUACUCCAUCUUCAGCCUUGAGAUAAAUUGAAGUUCCAAAACUCUGCCUGGGGAUCCAGUUGCCCAGCUUUACGCCUGGAGAGAGCUGCGCUUGAGUGGUGAGGGAGGGACAGCCCUCUGCACAUGCCCAGGGGCACUUUUCACAAAGUUCUUGAUGGCGGUGAUCAGCUGGAAUUUUGAAGCUUUACAUCAGCCCUGGAAAGUGAAGGGAAGUUUUGAAAGUGGAGCCAGAGAAAGAAGGCAGGAGCCUGGUCAGCUUAAGGCAGGGCUGAGAAACGUUGUUCAACUUGAGGACCACAUGCCGGUGGUGGGCGAGAAGAGAGGCAAAACAGGCUGGGGAAUGAAUGUGAAUUUGGCCUUUGCAAAUGAGGGAGUUUCUCUACACACAAAGCAGGUCUGGGAAUGGGUGUGACAUGCAGAGAGGCUCAUGGGGUCUGAGGGGAAUGCAUUUUUCUCCAUCUCUAGUGAAGACAGAGGGCAGGAACUCCAAGAGACUUGAAGGGAGAUACCUCUCAUUUUGGCACUAGAGCUAGACUGUUAGGGUCUCUCCCGGUGCUUACAAUUCUAUUAUUCUGUGCAUUGGCAGACUCUGCUAAGAAGGAGCUAAGACCAGCUGGUGGUCGGAAAAAAGGGGAUGGCUGCCAGCUCGUAACCACACCUCUUCUCUCCAUAAACGCCCCCACCUUCCUCUUUUCGGCACACAGAGAAAUGAGCUUCUCAAUUUUUCUCCUCCUAAAAAUGCUCAACCUCUCAUCACUUCACACAGCUUUCAGACCCAUCCUCUGAAUGGAUUUACGAUGAACGACCAAUGUCUGUGUGUCUUGAAGAGGAGUCCUCCACGCAGCAGGCAAAAGGGGGCUGCGAAUGGCUGCAAACGAAGCCUGGAGCUCUUUCUUCUGACUCUGUCUUUGCUUUCUUCUCCCUCUGGUAAGUCCUCCAAAGGCUUGAUAAGGUGAUAUGCGCGUGUUUUUGCAGGAAAAGACGUUUGUGUAGAAGGCCUCUCUGUCUUCUGAAGCGGCCUCACAAUCCCUUCAUGGCUCUGUUAUUUGGUAACAUCUAAAAUAAGCUACAUUACGCUCAGAGCGCAAACAACAGAGGGGAUGCAGCCAGGAGACUCCCUGUGCUGUAAUGGAUGGAUGCAGAGGCCGCCGACUAUAAAAUCGUUUGAAACAGUACUGCUUCCUUCUCAAGCAAGUGCAUUUUAGGGUUGGAACAGAGUGAGAUGCCUCAGUUUUCUUCCUCUCAAAAUGGAGGGAUUCUUCUUUGCAGGAAAUUUCAUUUCAGCUUUAGCUGGGGAAAGCUGGUCCCGCAAGCGAUCUUUCAAAGACUCAGUCCUGGGUUUAUUCUUGAAGGCAAAUAUCAGGCUGAUUUGUGUUUAAAAACGCAGUUAGCAACGAUGCUUCUGCAGUCUGACAAAGCACCUUUCAGAAUUGAAUAAUGAUAUCCAGUGCACUCUGAGUGGGUCUCCUCUUGCGCUUGAACUAAAAGCUGCAGUUAGUGUAUAGCUGCUGAUAUGAGUGAGACCCUGGCCACAUUUAACACAUCUCCUCAGAGAUCUGCAUUGGCUGGCGUUAUGUUAUGGGACUAAAUUUAAGGCAUUGCUACUGGUACAUAAAGCCCGCAAAAUAGCUUGAGACCAGUUUAUGUGAAGGAUUACCUUGCCCCAUACAGGCUCUUGAAUUGGUACUACUUACUGGUGCCACAUAAUAUUCAUUUCACACCUGCAAGAAAUCAAAAUUUUAAUGUGGCAGAACCUAGACUUUGGAACUCCCUGCUAUUUUGCAUCAGACAGGUGUCCUUAAUGCUUAAAACCUCUCCAUCCAGGCAACCUUACCCAGACAUACAGAAUUUGGCAUGUAUUUUAAUCGAGGGCGGGGCUCCCAGAAACCUUUUUAUUUUUUUAUCUUUUUUUAUCCACAGAAAUGUACAAAGAGCAUAACUUAAAAGCUUGAGUAAAGGUCAGUUCCUGAAAUUAAUAGGCAAGCAGAAAUCACAAAAGAUAUUGUGCAAUAUUAUGUUUUAAUGUUAAUGUGUUUUAAUCAUUGUCAGUUCCUGAAAUUAAUAGGCAAGCAGAAAUCACAAAAGAUGUUGUGCAAUAUUAUGUUUUAAUGUUAAUGUGUUUUAAUCAUUGUCAGUCACCCUGGGACCUUAGAGCGAAGGGUGGGCAAUAUAUUGCAAUCAAGUAAUUAAUUAAACUAUAAUGAGUUUAAUCAAUUAAAGUUGCAGACUAAGAUGGUGACAUUACAUCUCUCACUCUCCUAUUCAUAUAAAUUACAGAAUCAAACUAUUCUGAUCCAAAACAUACCCUCUGUUUAGCCCUCCCAGCCAAUUUCAAUUUAUUGAUCAACCUUUCAACUGAAGCUGUCUCCUCAACCUUUUAAUAUACCAAUAUUCUGGUGUAGCUCCUUCUAAGUCCUCCAAAAACAGAUAGUUCUUCACUUUGCCUUCCAUUAAAAGAUGACCGAUCAACACUUUACUUCUCACCUUCUUAUUGCUGUUUGAGAAACUGCUUAACAAAGCUAAAGGACAAUCCAUUUCUAUAUCUUGAUUGGUUAUAUUCUCAAUUUCAUGAAAUACUACAUUCCCGAAAUCUUUUUCAAAGUGUUGUUAGCUUGUUUUUGUUGGGUUUUUUGCUACUAAUUUUUAUUAGUUUUCAAUUACAGUCCAGUAAUAGCCUCAAUGUUUGACCAAACUGCGGGAGGCAGUGGAAGACAGGAGUGCCUGGCGUGCUCUGGUCCAUGGGGGCACGAAGAGUCGGACACGACUAAACGACUAAACAACAACAAUAGCCUCAAUAAAAUGCAAUACAAAUUUAUAAUACAAUUAUUAAUACCAAUCAUUCAAAUACCAAAUUAUAUAAUUUAGAUAAGGUGCCCCCCCCACAUGCUAGAAUUGAUGGCUUGAUUAUUUGCUUUAUUUCUGCAUUCCAAAAUCUUAUUAAUUUCUAUUACAUUCCAGUCAUAAUAAUAAUCCCUUAUAGAACAACUGCAGUAUUAAUAACUUCUAUUCGUGUUGACACAUUAAAUGAUUUAUAAAAUUACAAUGAACCUUAUCAGUUCCUUGGCAAGUUCACAGACUCCUUCCAUCCUACCGUCCAACUGAUGAUAAAGGAGCAAUUAUACUGCCAAUUUAAUUUAAUUCCAAGACCUCUUAGCGUUAUUCAGUUCACUCCAUAAACAAUAAAGGAUGGGGAAGAGUCAGCUCUAAGUUUUCAUCAUAAUUCUUUUGCAAAAUAGAGUUUCCCUCCCUUUUUCCUUUUUUUACACACGCAGUUCCAUUUAAUGUUAUAUUCCAUAUCUAUAAUCCAAUUUCUUACAUCCUCACUGGUACAAAUAUAAUUCGAACUAACAUUCAGAGGAGGGUUCCCGAAUCAUAAAUGUAGAGCAGAAAAUUUUAUAUAAAGAAACUAUAGGCUCCCCUCUCCCCACAACGUCUUUUGCACCAAAUGAAGUCUUCUCUCAAGUUCAAACCUUAAAGACCUUGCAGUUGGUUUUGUUCCACAGUUUUUGAUCUCAUCUUUUCUAGUACUUUAGUCCAAAUUAAGCCGUAAUUAACAGGAGUGCCUCUGCUUCUUAAUGGUGGCAUAGGAGGGUUUUCAGCAAACAAAGUGCUUUUGUACACCGCGCCUCCCUGCCUCCCACGAUCCGUUCCGGAAUGAGAGCCAGGUACCGAGACAAACUGCGAGAGAAGCCCAUUCCUUCCUGUCCCUGGGGGGAACUUGCAAGGAUAAUUACCCUCAAUCAUCCUUGUUUUUCCUUAGCCAACAACCUCCCGCUGCUGUGGGGUCUUCCUCCAUUAAGGCAGAGUGGAACCGGAAGCCCCAGUAGCAUUUGCUUUAAUUAUAUCUUGACUUUUAAAAAUACCUGUUUUUAAGUGUGUUAUUUUUAAAAGGGUUUUUUCCCCAUUUAAAAUCAAGUGGUUUAUACAUUUGGUUAGGUAAAAAUAACGAAUAAAUCCACACAUUUGGUAAAGCUUUAAAUCAGUGAUUCUGAGAGACUUUUCCAACCGUUGUCCCUUUCUUUGACUUUGUUUCUCCCUUUUCCUUCCUUCUUUCCCAUGAACUUUUUAAGGUACUGCAAAUAUCAGAGUACAGAAUCCCCACAAGGAGAAGUUGAAUGGGAUCCUGGGAGGCUGUGUGUUGCUCCCUGUAAAUAUUCCCCAAGCGGAAACAUUGAAGACAGUCGAGUGGUAUUUCCAGGGGAGAAAUGGUUUGAAAUUUCAGCUGGCUGAGUUGAAGGAAGGAAGACUGGAGAGGCUGAAUCCCAAGGACAGGUUUGGGCCAAGAUUGGAGAUGGCCAAUGAUACCACCCUGAGGAUCAAAGACUUGGAAAUGGAUGACAAUGGCAAAUAUUCCAUUAUAGUGAAGUUUACUUCAACACAGUAUGAAGAUUACACCUUCCACCUCUCUGUGUAUGGUAAGUAAUUCUUUAUUCAUCUGUGUCUAUUUAUUGUGAAAUAGAGCCUGGAAAUAGAGACAGCCUUUCUCUCCUUCAGCAGUGAUGUUGCUGGGCAGUUGCUGACAGCCAUGGAGGGCACAUAUUAUUAUUAUUAUUAUUACUAUUAUUACUAUUAUUUAUUUAUUUAUUUAUUCCCCGCCCAUCUGACUGGGUUUCCACAGCCACUCCGAGCGGCUCCCAACAGAAUAUUAAAAUCACGAUGCAAGAUCAAACAUUAAAUCUUCCCGUGACUUCAGAUGUCUUCUAAAAGUCAGAUAGUUGUUUAUUUCCCUGACAUCUGACAGGAGGGCAUUCCACAGUGCAGGUGCCACCACUGAGAAGGCCUUCUGCCGGGUUCCCUGUCGUCUCACUUCUCGCAGGGAGGGAACCGCCAGAAGGCCCUGGGAGCUGGACCUCAGUGUCCAGGCUGAACGAUGAGGGUGGAGACGCUCCUUCAGGUCUACUGGGCUUUAAAGGUCAGCACCAACAUUUUGAAUUGUGCUGGGAAACAUAUGAGCCUUUCAUAUGUUAUUCCACAGAACCAGUCCCAGAACCAAAAAUCCUCUCCCAAGUUGUCUCCAGGAGCCCAGAUGGCUGCAAUGUGACCCUGCAGUGUCAGGUGCCUGGAAAGGGGGAAUUCAACAUCUCCUGGGGAAAAGGGGAUGCCUUCAGGGACUUAGAAGAUGGUUCAAAGUCAUAUCACCUCUCUGGCAAUGGCAAAAAUCUCCACUUGUUCUGGAAGCUCAACUCCUCAGAGCCCAACAUCACCUGCCUGGUCACCAAUCCAGCAGAUCAGAAAAGCAUCUCCUCCAACUUGCUGCACAUCUGCCAAACUGAAGGUGAGCAACUCUCUAUUUUAUUUAGAAAACUGCAGAAACCACUUAAUUAAAAAAUCAUUGAUUUAAUCUUUAAAAGUGCAUAAAACACAGUGAAAGCUGAACAGUUAUUUGUCCUCCUCCCCUUCCUCAUUAUGCAUUAGCUGGGUAGUUGAUUGGGGUGUUGAACACCCAACACUUCCCUUCCAUGUUAAUUUCAAAAUGAGCCUUAUCAUGGGGUCAAUGAAAUGGAAAGAUUUAAAUUUUUUCAAAUGGAAAUCUAGACAGAUUCAUGAGCCGGUGCAAACUUAGGAAUCAGUCCUCGUAACUAGCCGAGGAUGGCUGGGGACGAUUGCACAAUUCCUGCCAAAAGCAAACGGGUGGAAUUCAGGGCGUUGUCUUAUCCGUUUCUUCUCUCUCUCUCUCUCUGCUAGUGGUUUACAAAGGAAUCUAGAAUAUUCAUUAAACAUACUUUUAAAAGCAGCCCUCAAAAGCACGUUACAUAAACUUUUGAGAUAGAAUUGAAAUCAGUACAGUAGUACUUUGAAUCUCAAACGCCUUGGCUCCUUAACCAAUCAGCUCCCGAACGAUCGAAACCCGGAAGUGACUGUUCCUGUUUUCAAACGAUUUUUGGAACCUGAAUAUCUGACAGUACUUCCGCGGCUUCCAGUUGACUGCAGGAGCUUCCCACAGCCAAUCAGAAGCCGCACUUUGGUUUCCGAAAGUUUUGGAAGUCGAACGGACUUCCAGAACAGAUUCUGUUCCACUUCCAAGGUACGACUGUAAUUUGAAAAUAAUCGUUCUUACUAAAAUCACAUGUUAAAAAGUGCAUGCUCUGGUGAUUUAAAAUUAUCUGGCAGCCUUUUCUUUUCUAUCCAGCCUUUUCUUUUCUUUUCUUUCUUUCUUUCUUUCUUUCUUUCUUUCUUUCUUUCUUUCUUUCUUUUUUACCUUACUUUCUUUUUACCUUACAACAUUUCCCCACCCAAAAAUAUGGACAGGUGGUUCAGUAUCUCUCCGUUUAAGCCUUGGACAUUUUUUAACAGAGAAACUUGUGGGAAAAGACUCCCCUCUCCAGCUGCCUUUUAUCAUCCGAAAACUGCAGCUUUCACAAGCUUCAAAAGCUAUAACAGAUGCCGUAAACACAGGCCUCUUUGUCUGCGCCAUAAUUUAUGUGGCUCUUAUCAUCCAAAUAACGGCAUUAUAUUUUAAAGCACAUUUAUAACAGUGCUUAUCUGAAAGUCUCCCUAGAUACGUAUAUAUUAAACCCAAAGACAGUGUAGCCUGCUAUGGGACAGAUUUUCUCACAAAGUCCAAAAUAUUCCACCUCUUUUCCACUUCACAGACCCAGUUGUAUUUUUGUAUCCAAGUCUAAAACACACAUUGUUGGGACUAACCAUUAUUUGAAAUUGCUUUCUUAGAGCAGCAAGAAGGCCAUUCAUUGGCAGCCAUCAAGCCAACAUCUGGCAUCAGAAAACAUCUGGGGAUUAUGACAUGUGGGUUUUCUUUCCAUGGAAAAAAACAGCUUUGGCAAUGAAUGGAGUUCUCUAACAAUGAAAGGAUUUCACAGCCAUUCAAUCACUCUCAGCAUAGCUUAUAAACCACAUAAUAAUCGUAAGAAUAAUAAUUUACCACUAAGUACAUAUAAUAAUGAGAAAACAGCAAGGAAAGAAAUAGGAACCAGGUGAAGUGAUCAGGAAUAGGAGAUGGAUCACUGCAGAUAACCACUGGGUGAAACUUUUUUACCCCGCAAUAUUCUUUUUAUUCUUCUAUGUCUGUUUUAAAAACCACAAGUUUUCACAGUAGUCCUGCUAACGUCUUAAUGAUAUGUUUGCAAUUUGUUUGUAAAUAUUCAAUAAACCACUUCCGUUCCUUAAUAAAAAAAAAGGUUGUCUUGAUUUCUAAUUCUUCUAGUAAGUUUUGCCAUUUCUGCAUAUCCCAUUAUUUUCUGUAACCAUUCUUUUCUCAUCGGAACUUCUUCUAUCCAUUUUUGGGCAAAUAUCUUCCUGUGGCUGUAGCUGUAUACAUAAAUAAGUUUCUAUAUUGCUGAGGUAGCUCUGAAGCUUUCAAGAAGCUGUUUGUGCACAGCUCUAGCCGAGACCCUUGUCCAUGCCAUAGCUGUCAACUUUUCCCUUUUCUUGCGAGGAAUCCUAUUCAGAAUAAGGGAAUUUCCCUUAAAAAAAGGAAAAUGUUGACAGCUAUGGUCCACGCAACCCACCAAUAAGCUGUGGGGUCUCCUUUCAGAGCUCGUAUUGCCCAACAUUUUAGAGGUCUUCCAAUAUCUUGCACGAAAAAACUAUUAUUUAUCCAAUCUUUGCAGGUGGCAAUCAACCCGGACUGCAUUGGAGCUGGAGCUGGACUUUUCUCAUCAUUUUCUUCGUAAUUUUCCUCCUCUUGGCUGGAUUUGGGCUAAAGACCUGGAAGAAAAGAAGGAAAAUGCCACCCAACAGAGGUAGGAAGCUUUUCGUAAGAGCAGAAGGAAAGUCUUGAGGGAACCGACCGAAGAAUCUGUUGGGAUGACCAUCCUGCCCCCCACAGCUUAUCUCUGUGAAACUUGAGUCCCUUUCAGUGGGGGUUUAGGGUUCCUCUACAUAGUUCUGUACCCUUAAGUAAAGGGACCCCUGACCAUUAGGUCCAGUCAUGGCCAACUCUGAGGUUGCGGCGCUCAUCUCGCUUUAUUGGCCGAGGGAGCCGGCUUACAGCUUCCGGGUCAUGUGGCCAGCAUGACUAAGCCGCUUCGGGCGAACCAGAGCAGUGCACGGAAACGCAGUGUGUGUGAUUAGCAUAUGUAAUGAGACAUAUUUAGCAUAUUUGGCAUAUGUAAUGAGACGUUACAUCACAUAUGCUAAAGCUAUUUUUGGACAUCUGCAUACUAUCCCUUGCUUUUUCUUAUAGGACUAAUUGCAGUUGUUAACAGUCGUCAACAGGUUUACCAUACCCAUUGAGUCAAUUGCCCAUCUCCUACUACCCUCCUGAGAAAAACCCCACCCCACCCUCCCACUAUAUAUCAGGGUCUGGUGACUUCUGUUUCAGUGUAUCUGAAGAAGUGUGCAUGCAAACGAAAGCUUAUACCCAGAACAAACUUGGUUGGUCCCUAAGGUGCUACUGGAUU
Podarcis lilfordi (Lilford's wall lizard) is the source of this 8437-nucleotide non-coding RNA. Lineage: Eukaryota; Metazoa; Chordata; Lepidosauria; Squamata; Lacertidae. The record is from the annotation of a GenBank genome assembly.